UGUGGUACGUUUUUUAUAUUAAGUUUAAAAGUAUUAUACAUUUCUUACUAAUGUUUAUUGAUUUUUUUUAUAUUUCAUUUAAAUUAGAACUAAUACGUUUAUUUUUUGUAUAACAGAAGAAGGUGAAAGCCAACAAGAGCAAUUAGGAGAAGAAAACUCUUCUCCAGCAUUCCGAUUCGAGGCCCUUCUCAUAUAGGAUGGAGGCGCAAGGGCAAGUAAUAAUAAAAAAAUUCAUAUUCAAUUUUUAAUAUGUCAGUAAUUUUUUUUUUCGUACUAACAUUUUUCUUCUCUUGUUCUAUUCAGGGGGGUUCAAAAUUCCCAGAGAUCAAUGUCUUUAGAGACAUUUAUGUUCGAUCCGAGGAUGAGUUGGCCAAGUUCCUUCAUGUAAGUAUUCUUCAAUUGUAAUUACCAUCUUACACAUUCAAGUAUCAUGGUUAUUAUUGAAGGAAUUAUUUGUGAAAACUAGUUCAUUUGAGCAGCAUCUAUGCAUGCAAUUAACAAUUAAAAGGCGGAAUCAUGCUUGUAUGCACUCAAAAACAAAACUUUACCCAUGAAAUUCAAGGCCUAGUAAUUAUGGUGAACCAAGACUCAACUCAAAAUUUUUAUACCUUUGAAGCACCUCUUUGCUUAGCAAAGGAUAUUCACCCAUGUGAGGGCCUUCUUUCCUUAGUCUCCUUACUCCUUGACUCCAUGGAUGUGGAUGGAAGAACUUUGUUCUUGGCUCCAUGACUUCUUGGAUGGAUGAAGGAAUGGAAUCUCCAACUUCCCAAAAUAGGGAACCUCUAAGUCUCCACACCAAGGAGAGCAUUGAGGAAUAGAUGAGUGGCCUAGAGGAAGAAAGAUUGCUAGUGAUGUGAAAUAUUCUAACACUCAAAUUAAAACCCUAUGAUUGUAGUAUAUAAAAGUAGGGAUCGUUUUAGGCCGAGGAUUAGAAGGGCUACUAAUCUACACAAAUUGAACUCUAAAACACUAAACUAGACUCAAAAACACAAACUAGACUUUUAUGACUUAAAACUGUCUCAAACUACUCAAAACAGCACCAAAAAAAAAACAAACUAACUCAAAACAAACUCUAGGGAGUUAUUUGGACAAAUUUAAGACUAGUAAGACUCAAAACACUAAAUUGGACAGAUUUGAACACGUUUCUAACUAAUCUAACACACUUAAUUAAAAAGGGGAUUGAUUUGGACAAAAUUUAACUAAACUAAACAGAUUGCAAAACAAAGUAAAUUAGGUGAUUUGAAUGGUGAAAAACUAGCCAGAGGAUCCUUCUCCACACAUGAAACAUAUGCAUACAAAUUGAUUUCCAGUAUUGUUUCUUUCAACCAUGAAUGACAAUGCCCCAAAUUAAUUAUGAAUGCACUGAUUAACUUUCAGACUUUCCUAAGUUCAUUGAAUUGAAUGGACAACGCAUCGCAACCAAAUUAUUCUUCUCAAGUUCCUUAUAUAAACAGCAUGAUAGAGAUACAUAUCAAAGAUCAUUAAGUUCUAUGAAAAUCAUAAGCAUUGACAAGGCAUUCAUAACUAUGAACUACAUGAUACUCUUGCCAAGAAUUUACUUAACAUGAUUAUGACUAGCAAUCUCCACUACUUCUAAUUAUAAGUUCAUAACAAUUAGGUGAAAUUCCCUUAUAAUUUAGCAUCAAAUCACUGCAUGCAAACUAAGUAUGCAUCCUUAAUAAACACACAAGAAUAAGUUCUCAAUAACGCAGAUAAGUAAAUCACAUUCAUGUUUUAUGAAACAAUAACUGAAGGUAAUCAAUUCAUAUUAAACAUAUGCCCAUAGCUUCAAAUUCACCUCUAACAAAAAAGGAUUUAGUUCCUCAUGUUCAUAAUAAUUGAAAAGCAAAGUAAAAUAAACAUGGAAACGAAACGAGGGAAGAAAUAACUCUGAAAAUCUCCAAUGGUUGCAAGUGACUUGCGGCACAACCCUUGAAUGGUGGCACGGCACAAAUCUCCUCUUCUCCUUUCCUUCCUUGAUGCGGCACUUGAUGAGUUUCUGUGUAUAUGGUGUGAAUUGUGGUGUAGAAACAUAUGGGGGGUGGUCUGAUGGUAGAGGGUGGUGGUUUUUGUGGCAGAAAAUAUACAUAUAUAUAGGCCUAGGUGCAACACAAAAGUAGCUUAGGAAAAGGAUUUUAGCACUUCAAAUCCAUAAGGAAAAGGUCAGCUAUAUAGCAGAAACCAAAGAGGACAAGGAGAGAGAGGUGCGGCAGGCUUCUAGACAUUCUAGAAAGGGUCCAGGCGCCAGAUUUUUAAGAGAUGAGAUAAGGCUUCUAGAAUCAUAUUUUUAUGUGUCCAAGUCUGACCCCCUUGCAGCUAGAAUUAAGGUGAAAAGGGAUUAGGAUAAGAUAAGACUAGGUUGGAUAAGAUAAGGUUAGGAUAAGGUAUGGAUAAGAUAAGGCAGUUUGGAUAAUGUCUCCUUCUUUUGAGUUGAUUCCUUAUCUUCAAUGUCUUGAAUUAAUUUCUUCAACUCUUUAGCACAUUCCUAGCCUCUCUUGAACUUCAAAUUCGUCCAUCCACCUUACUCCACGCAUGUGAUAUCCAUUCCAAGCUCAAAACUGCUCUAAAAUGCUCCAAAUUGCACUUUCAUGCCAAUUUUGCCAUUUGACCCUACAAACACACGAAGAUAGCUUAAAACACUUUAAUAAGUAGAAACUAGCUAUGAAAAUGUAUGAAAUCAAGCUAACUAAGUCGCAUAAAUAUGCUCCUAUCAAAUUCCCCCACACUUAGCUUUUGCUAGUCCUCGAGCAAAACAAAACAAACAAAACAUAACCUAGACCUUCCAACGUUUGUCUCAGGGAUUUCCAAUGAAACAUGACACGUUAAAAAUCACUACUCCCAUAAAUUUUAGCUAUCCUUACCCUCGAGCACACACUUAAUCGCAGUCACCACUCACUAGCUCGCAUUUAAUCAAUUUAAACAAUGGUUUGAAUGUAGUAACAUGCCUUAGAGAAUUCACUCAAUUCCUCACCGUAAUACUCGUUAUUUUCACACAGAUUUUCUUACUACACUCCCUAUACUAGGUAUAUGUGAGAAGAUGGAUGUAAACAUGUAGACUAGCCACUCACAUAUGUUAUGAUCAAAGAAGGCACUUUCUGGAAUUAUUAAUGCAUACAUAUAUGAUCUCAUGAACGGAAUGCCACUACUUAGAACGAGAACCAGGGAUUCCAUAUGCUCAUACCUAUUUCAAACUCCACAGAUUGAAACACACAACAACCAAGAUAGAAGUCAAAGGGUUGUAAUGGGGCUAAGGGUAUUGGCUAACAAAGAAAGGUUAAGGAUAACAAGGGUUCUUAAAGCAAUAGUAAGCAAAGUAAUGAAAUUGACACUUAGAAUUCACUUUUGAAUGCAUCAACUAACUUUAAACACAAAAGGGAGAUUCACACAGUACUUAGGGCCAGAUUCAAACUUUUGGACCCUUUCUUCAACACCCAAUACUUGUGAGUUCAUUCUCACUUAUUUAGAACUCUUUUCCUUUGUUUUUCCACUUUUUCUUCUUUUUUUCUUCUUUUCACGUUUUUUUCUUUUUUUCUUUUUUUUUUUUCUUUUUUUUUUUCUUUUUCUUUUUUUUUCUUUGGAAAUAACCUUCCCCCACACUUGUUUUCUGCAAUAAUGUCGCUCAAAAGGAAUUCCCUCUAAGUCAUGCUCCACUACACUUUAAGAACAAGGGUAUGGAUAGUCCUAUUCUAGGCUAGGUAGGGAUAAUGUGGCUAACAAAGAAAAUAGGCUAAAUAAGGCUCAAAGGGGUUAAACCUACAAAACAUAUGCAAGGGAUUAAGGUUUUUUGGCUCUAGUGGUAACUGCUAAACAACUUCAUCUUGUUAUAUGUUAGGCACUCAAUUUUCAACUUUGAAUGAAAUGGGCAUGAGUUCUAGUAUUUGGAACUAAAAUGAUGAAAACGCUUCCUAAGUAGCAACCAAGCAAAGAAAUAAUGAGAUCAUGCAAUGACUUUAGAAAACAACAAAUCACAAAUUAAUAACUCUCCAAACAAGGUUUAGGCACAAGUCUCUCAAGGUUGUAGCAUUAGUUUGAGUUCCUUCCUUCAAGCAUGUUACAAAAACUGAUUUUUUUUUUUUUUUUUUUUGCUUUGUGAUUACAUGUGAAUUCGUUAAUGACAACUACAACCAAGUAUUAACCAAAGAGCAUAUCAAACUUCCACCCAUGUUUGUAGAUUUCUUUAACAGUCAUGCAAUUAAAAACCAAAUCCUCAUCAUUGUGUUAGAAGGUACCCUAAGACACAAACAAACACACAAACACGUCUCUUUUUGGGUUUUUCAAAACUUUUUCUAAUUUUUUUUUCAAGUUUUCGUAUUUUUCUUUCAAGACACACUAAAACAGUUCAAAACACACUAAAAACGCUUAAAACAGUGAAGAACAACUUUAGUGGUGCUAGGUGGUAAAAUCCCAUGAAAAUCAUGCAAAAACAGCUUGUUUACCCCCCC
This 4442-nucleotide long non-coding RNA is filed under the name Malus domestica (apple). RNAcentral describes it as "long non-coding RNA (MDOM_LNC003015)". The record is from RNAcentral. Lineage: Eukaryota; Viridiplantae; Streptophyta; Magnoliopsida; Rosales; Rosaceae.